Ribosomal RNA from Vulpes vulpes (red fox), 116 nucleotides. NCBI's taxonomy places the organism in Eukaryota, Metazoa, Chordata, Mammalia, Carnivora, Canidae. The record is from Ensembl.
GCUUGUCUACAGCCAUAACCACCCUGAACGUGCCCGAUCUCGCCUGAUCUCGGAAGCUAAGCAGGGUUGGGCCUGGUUAGUACUUGGAUGGGAGAAAUACCCAGCUUAUUCAAGCA